CGGGUGUAUGCUGAUUAGACUACAUCGUUGUACCGUUUCCUUUUACAGGUGCAGUGAAACCUCAUGUGUCUCAUUCAUCCAGCAUCUUGCCAACUUACAUGUAAAGGCCUGGUUGAAAUCAUUUGAAGCAGAACUUGGUGUUUGUAUAUGUACAGGAAACAAUAACGUACACGUACAAUGUAUGUUCUCCUGGCUCUUGCCUUGUGAAAGCUAGAGUGGACCGGCCAUAAUUGGCAAAACGUAUGUGAAUUACAACACGUAUCUUCCGAAGUACACAGAACUUGUUUUGUGGCCUACUGUGAUUGCCUACAGCUUAAGCUUUUGCGGUUGUUACUACUUCGUGCACAAUACCAAAAAUAAAAUGGAGCUGACGUGGUUGUACGCAUCCCUGAUAAUUGCUGUCUGUUGCAACACGUUCUGUGCCGCGACAACACAGACCAGUUCAAAACAGACUAAUUUUGUCGUCUUCAUCAUGGACGACGUGGGAAUGGGCGAUCUGGGCUGUUUUGGGAACGACACGAUGAAGACCCCGAACAUCGACCGUUUGGCGCAGGAGGGGGCCAAACUCAGCCACCACUUGGCUCUGCCGCUGUGCACACCGAGCCGAGCUGCGCUCAUGACGGGACGACUGCCUGUCAGAUAUGGAAUGGGUUCCAGGCACAUCAUGAGAGUGUUUACGUUCCUCUCGGCCAAGGCCGGACUCCCGUCCAACGAGACCACCAUUGCCGAGCUUUUGAAGGAGUCUGGCUAUUCCACUGGACUUGUUGGAAAAUGGCAUCUGGGCUCUAUGUGUGAGUCAGAGACUGAGUGUUCCCACCCUAAUGGUCAAGGCUUUGAUUACUUCUUCGGCCUACCUCUAACAAACCUCCGAGACUGCGGCGGCAAGAGCAACGUCUUUGUUGCCUGGGAUCCCCACAUCUACCGCGACAUCGUCCUGACCUUUCUGGUGCUGCUGUGGGCGGCCUACACGGCCCGUAAGAAUGGCUACAUUGGGCCCCAGGGCUUUGUGGUAUGCGUGGCUACGGCGGUCAUACUCUGCGGGGGCUUCUUUGCCUUCAUUAAGUCCAUCCGCAUGAUGAACUGCGUGUUGAUGGAGAACCAACGAGUGGUGGAGCAGCCCCUCCAGUAUGACCGACUCACGGAGAGGCUCGACCGUCGAGCCGUCAGCUUCCUGGAGCAGAACCACGACAGACCCUUCCUCCUAGUUGUGUCCUUCUUGCAGGCCCACACGGCCCUCUUCCGAUCAGAGCGAUUCACAAAUCACAGUCGGCACGGUUUUUACGGCGACGUCGUGGAGGAGAUGGAUUCGAGUGUCGGGCAGGUCACUGCCACUCUGAAGCGGCUAGGCUUGGAAGACAACACAUUCGUUUACCUGACUUCAGACAAUGGUGGUCACGUGGAAGAGUUCUCAGAGGAAGGGGAAAGAGAAGGAGGAUGGAACGGCGUCUUUAAAGGAGGGAAAGCCAGCACCUGGGAAGGCGGCAUCCGCGUGCCGACCAUCGUCAAGUACCCUGGUGUGGUCUCUCCGGGGUCAGAGGUCACAGAGCCCACCCAGCUGUCAGACCUGCUGCCGACCAUCGCAGGGAUCGCGGGCGUACCGCUGCCAGACGACAGGGUUUACGACGGCAAGGAUCUCAUGCCGCUGUUGCGAGGCGAGACGAUCGGCAAGCCCCACCACGAGUUCAUGUACCAUUAUUGCGGGAGCUAUCUGCAUGCCGCCCGCUACACGCCAUCAGACUCUGACAGCAUCUACAAAGUUCACUUCAGCAGCGUCCUGCACGUUCCCGGACCCCACGGCACCACGGGCUGUUUUGGCACCUAUGCCUGCCGCUGCACGGGGUACUCUGUCAUCCAGCACGACCCACCUCUGGUCUACGACCUUACCCACGACCCCUCCGAGCUGAACCCCCUCGACCCGGACGACCCCGAGGUCAGCGAGGUCAUCUCCAGGAUGCAGGAGGCGGUGGCCGAUCACCAGAGUGGACUGGUCAAGCAGCAGGACCAGUUUGGAGUUCUUCGGCUGCUCCCCCGUCCCUGGAAGCAGCCGUGCUGCGGCACGUUCCCGUUGUGCUCUUGUAAAGACUCCCUGCAUUCGGAGAAACCCAUGUUACCGGAGGUGGUGAACCAACCAGACUGGGUACCAGUGGCCGAGGACAUUCCACAGAGUUGAGGUAAUUUCCCUUAACUGAGGUAACUUGAGGUAACUUUCCUUAACCGAGGUAACUUGAGGUAACUUUCCUUAACUGAGGUAACUUUCCUUAACUGAGGUAACUUGGGGUAACUUUCCUUAACUGAGGUAACUUGAGGUUACUGAGGUAAAUUGAGGUAAUUCUGAGUCUCCCACCAUUGGAGGGAAGGUAUUACAAUUGUCUGUAAAUAAAUUUACUAUUUUGUGUUCUCUAUCCACUUGGCUCAGUUUCAUUAGGGAAUCUUCACAAAUGCAAACAACACCUGUUCGACUUCUCACCGAGGAUCGGAGCUGGAUAUAAUAGUUGAUCUGCAAAAAAAGUCUUUCGUGUGUAAUUACACUGGCAGUGCAUGGAAAUAAAGAGAAA
RNAcentral lists this unclassified non-coding RNA (2555 nucleotides) under Patiria miniata (bat star). Its description in RNAcentral is "steryl-sulfatase-like, transcript variant X1". The record is from RNAcentral. Lineage: Eukaryota; Metazoa; Echinodermata; Asteroidea; Valvatida; Asterinidae.